Molecule: ribosomal RNA, 254 nt
Filed under: uncultured bacterium
Lineage: Bacteria
Description: partial 16S ribosomal RNA
Rfam family: Bacterial small subunit ribosomal RNA
Source: RNAcentral
UACAGAGGGUGCGAGCGUUGUUCGGAAUUACUGGGCGUAAAGCGCGCGCAGGCGGCUCUUUAAGUCUGACGGUGAAAUGCCGGGGCUCAACCCCGUGCCCGCCGGAGAUACUGGGGAGCUGGAGACGAGUAGAGGCAAGCGGAAUUCCGGGUGUAGCGGUGGAAUGCGUAGAGAUGUGGAGGAACACCGAUGGCGAAGGCAGCCCCCUGGGCUAACACUGACGCUCAUGCACGAAAGCGUGGGGAGCAAACAGG